ACGGGGUGCAGCAGGCGCGAAAACUGACCAAUGCGCGAAAGCGUGAGUCGGUCAAUCCGAGUGUAGACCCAUCGGUUUACUUUUGUCAUGUGUACAACGCUUGGCGAAUAAUGUGAGGGCAAGACUGGUGCCAGCCGCCGCGGUAAAACCAGCUCAUAGAGUGGUGAUCAUGAUUAUUUGGCUUAAAGUGUGCGUAGCAGGGAAUUCUAAGUCCUCUGUGAAAUGUCAGGUCUUAAGCUUGACACGUGCAGAGGAUACUGGAAUCCUUGGGACUGGGAUAGGUGUAAUGUACGGUUUGGGUAGGGGUGAAAUCCGAUAAUCCAAGCCGGACAACCGGUGGCGAAGGCGUUACACUGGAACAGGUCCGACUGUGAGGCACGAAAGCUAGGGUCGCGAGCCGGAUUAGAUACCCGGGUAGUCCUAUGCUGUAAACGAUGCUCACUAAGUGUUAGGUAAUGCAAGACAUUCUCUAGUGCCGAAGCGAAAGCGUUAAGUGAGCCGCCUGGGAAGUACGUUCGCAAGAA
This 524-nucleotide ribosomal RNA is filed under the name uncultured archaeon. Its description in RNAcentral is "bacterial SSU rRNA". It matches the Rfam family "Archaeal small subunit ribosomal RNA", at positions 325 to 849 of the family's 1478-position model. The record is from RNAcentral.